GCCGGCUGACGCACGUGUCUCUUGAUGAGGAUUUGAUGUCGCAGCUGAGGAACCAUCUUAUCUGAGAAAGUUUAGAACACGAAGAGACACGAGAAGCAAGAACUCCCGAUAAACGACAGCAAGUCAACACUAAGAGGAAACAAAAUCACUCUUUGUCUUCAUGAGAGGAAGCAGAGACGACUUCUUCUUCAAAUUUUGAGGAGAUGAAGACUUCUGUCAAACACGAUGACCGUCACACUUUGUCUUCAUGAGAGGAAGCAGAGACGACUUCUACUUCAAAUUUUGAGGAGAUGAAGACUUCUGUCAAACACAGCGACCGUCACACUUUGUCUUCAUGAGAGGAAGCAGAGACGACUUCUACUUCAAAUGUCUCCUCCACAUAUCUAAACCAAUGGCUGGGGACAGUUCCUGCAGAGGAAGCAAGGGCUCUUCUUUUCCUCUCUUCCAUGUAGAGCUUGGCCCCGAUGGGAGACACUGAAAUUAUGCCAAAAUACCCAGGAUACAAACACCACCAUCUUGUGCAUUUGGAGCCAGAGUCUGCAGUAUGAGAUCGGAGGCGAAGAUCCCACCAAUACACCCACUCAACAAAGACGACUAAUGAAAAAUGGCAGCUAACCAUGAACUUCACACAAUACCUCUGACAGGAAGUUGACUCGUUCCAGACACAGACCUUCCUUCAAAAAGGACGGGACGUCUUACCGAUGGUGUGGCGUCAGGAACUCAGUGGAACUCCAGAGGACCCGAAGAGACCGUAGAGGACGGAGAGUUUGGGGAAUAAGAAGAGACAAACAAGCAGAUUAAAUAUAAAGACGGACGACACGACAAGUAUCCUGAUCUCCCCCUGGUGGCUGGUUGCAGUUAAGUCAUUUUUCGGAGAGAAGAGACUUCAAUGUCAAGAAAAUAAGGUAUAGAAAUCUCUACCUCAAGUGCUCAUGAUGUGAAACCGUAUGGAGAGAAGACGGCUCACCAGCAGCUCGGUGUUGGGGAUUCUUGGACACACUGGUUCUUGCAGACUGGACACACUGGUUUCUGCAGACUGGACACACUGGUUUCUGCAGACUGGACACACUGGUUUCUGCAGACUGGACACACUGGUUUCUGCAGACUGGACACACUGGUUCCUGUAGACUAGACAGUCUCGAACUGAGCAGCAGCUGAUGUGACACCCUGCAUUUCCUGAGCACCUGACGACGACACAGACACUGAAAAGACAAACACUGUGCGGAAUAACACGUUCACAUGCACCAAAUCACACAGGACUUGGAUCCAUAUUCAAUGCUCCAAAUAAAACCUGAAGUCACCUGAGGACAGCAGGAAAACCUUCAUACAUGGCUCAUGCAGUUUGUGGAUAACAAACACCGUAUUAAAGUGCAACUGAAAUCAAGUUGCAGGCUGUUGAUGUCUGUAAGUCACAUUGACUGAAAGCCAGAGACUCUGAAGCACAACCAACCAACAUCAGCUUCUCCUUUUUAUCUCAUUUAAGAUCAGAAGCACAUCCUGCAACUUAGCAACAAACAUUCAGCAGGGAAAGUGCCUGUUAGUGUCCCUUUAAAGACGGUGAGGUGAACACAUGUAUCUACAGUGGGUAUCAGGAAAAUCUGUGAUCACAUUUUAAAUGCAUUUAACUCAGGUCACAAUCAGAAAUCCAAAGAUACAAUAAUCACCCUGUGGAGCUUCAGAACAUUGAAUAUUUAAAACACAUGGAAAAUUCCAAAGCUGCAGCUAAGAAACUACAACACUGGAUACAACACUUUAAACAUGUAAACGUACUGUUCAUCCAUAGCAUAUAAGUUACAGCACAACUUUAGUUACUUAUUAACCUCCAGGAGCCUUCAAACAUUUAAAGUUACUUUAACUCGUGUUUAUUCAAUUUAAACUACGUCACUGACCUUUCUGUCUCCAUAGGAACAGACUUAACAUCAAAGAUGUAAAUAGACACGAGUGAUGCUCAACAUGUUGCUUGGAUCAAUAACAACAGGAGUUAAACCUGUUGAUUAGUCUCAUUAAACUUUACUUAUAGCUUUGGGUUGACAUGUCUAAACGAUGCUGUACUAUAUUUUAUAUAGUACUUUAUUAUUUAUCUGCAGUAUUGCCUCAAUUGCUUUGUAACCGCACUUUAAAAUAUGCAUGUAAACAAUUGUUCAGUCGCAUUGUGUCAACACUGUCUUUAAAAAAUGAAACUGC
Molecule: long non-coding RNA, 2184 nt
Organism: Hippoglossus stenolepis (Pacific halibut)
Lineage: Eukaryota; Metazoa; Chordata; Actinopteri; Pleuronectiformes; Pleuronectidae
Exons: 11
Source: RefSeq, a predicted model, not a curated record